AUGCUCUCAGCACAUAUACUAAAAAAUUAGAAUGAUAUAGAGAAGAUUAGCAUGGCCCCUGGGCAAGGAUGACAUGCAAAUUUGUGAAGUGUUCCAUUUUUAU
This is a small nuclear RNA of Peromyscus californicus insignis, 103 nucleotides long. Lineage: Eukaryota; Metazoa; Chordata; Mammalia; Rodentia; Cricetidae. The record is from RefSeq and is a predicted model, not a curated record.